This is an RNA transcript of Gossypium raimondii (Peruvian cotton), 3490 nucleotides long. It is a transcript of the gene named 110 kDa U5 small nuclear ribonucleoprotein component CLO, with no coding region annotated. The transcript is spliced from 12 exons. The record is from RefSeq and is a predicted model, not a curated record. Lineage: Eukaryota; Viridiplantae; Streptophyta; Magnoliopsida; Malvales; Malvaceae.
GUGGUUCCCUCCCUCGCCCGCCUUUCGCCUUCACUGAGUUGAAGUAUCGAGAAUAUAUCACUGUAAACCCUUGCUUUGCUUUUGCAUGUGUUUUCUACUUCUUUCUACUACUUUCUUCUUGUUUCUUCAGCGCUUCGAUACUUUGGAUUUUAAGCAAUGGAUGAUAACUUGUAUGAUGAAUUUGGUAACUAUAUUGGACCUGAUAUCGAGUCAGACCAAGGGAGUGAAGGUGAGGAAGAAGAAGAUGAAGACCUUCCUGACAGGCAUGUCCAAGAGGAGGGACAGCAAUCUGAUGGGGAGGCUCCAGAUGGGGUGUCUAAUGGAUGGAUUACAGCUGCUAAUGAUGUUGAUAUGGAUAAUCAGAUUGUUCUUGCUGAGGACAAGAAGUAUUACCCAACUGCGGAAGAGGUUUAUGGUGAGGAUGUUGAGACCUUGGUUAUGGAUGAAGAUGAGCAGCCUCUUGAGCAACCUAUUAUCAAGCCUGUUAAGAAUAUCAAGUUUGAGGUCGGAGUUAAGGAUUCUUCGACUUAUGUGUCGACCCAGUUUCUUAUUGGUUUGAUGUCAAACCCGGGUUUGAUCCGCAAUGUUGCCCUCGUUGGACACUUGCAACAUGGGAAGACGGUGUUUAUGGACAUGUUGGUUGAGCAAACCCACCAUAUGAACACGUUUGAUCGAAAUAGUGAGAAGCACAUGAGAUACACUGAUACAAGAAUUGAUGAGCAAGAAAGAAGGAUAUCUAUUAAGGCAGUCCCGAUGUCACUUGUUCUUGAGGACAGUAAUGGGAAAUCCUAUCUCUGUAAUAUCAUGGACACUCCUGGUCAUGUGAAUUUUUCUGAUGAAAUGACUGCUGCUCUUAGGCUUGCUGACGGUGCCGUGUUGAUUGUUGAUGCAGCUGAAGGAGUGAUGGUAAAUACUGAGAGGGCUAUACGCCAUGCAAUACAGGAACGCAUACCUAUUGUAGUUGUUAUAAACAAGGUUGACCGGCUGAUAACAGAACUUAAGUUGCCCCCCAAGGAUGCUUAUCAUAAACUAAGGCAUACCCUGGAAGUAAUUAAUAACCAUAUAUCUGCAGCCUCUACAACCGCUGGUAAUGUUCCAGUUAUUGAUCCUGCUGCUGGAAAUGUUUGUUUUGCUAGUGCAAGUGCAGGAUGGUGCUUCACUUUGCAGUCAUUUGCAAAAUUAUAUGUAAAACUACAUGGAAUUCCAUUUGAUGCUGAGAAGUUUGCAUCUCGUCUUUGGGGUGAUAUUUAUUAUCAUCCUGAUACCAGGGCUUUUAAAAGGAAACCCCCUGCUGGCGGAGGAGAACGAUCAUUUGUUGAAUUUGUGCUUGAACCCCUUUAUAAGAUAUAUAGCCAGGUGAUUGGUGAACAUAGGAAGAGUGUAGAGUCUACUCUCGCAGAGUUGGGUGUCACUCUUAGCAAUGCUGCUUACAAGUUAAAUGUUAGGCCUUUGCUAAGGCUGGCUUGCAGCACAGUUUUUGGUUCAGCCUCAGGCUUCACUGAUUUGCUGGUUCAACACAUACCAUCUCCAAAGGAUGCUGCAGCUAAGAAGGUUGAUCACACUUACACAGGACCUAAACAUUCUAUGAUUUACAAGGCCAUGGUAGAAUGUGAUCCAUCUGGUCCCCUUAUGGUCAAUGUGACCAAACUAUAUCCCAAGUCCGAUUGUAGUGUUUUCGAUGCUUUUGGUAGGGUUUACAGUGGUAGAAUUCAAACUGGGCAGUCUUUGAGAGUACUGGGAGAAGGCUAUUCACCAGAUGACGAGGAGGACAUGACAUUAAAAGAAGUAACCAAAUUAUGGAUCUACCAAGCUCGAUACAGAAUACCUAUAAGCAGUGCUCCUCCUGGUUCUUGGGUUCUUAUUGAAGGUGUUGAUGCUUCAAUUAUGAAAACUGCCACCCUCUGUAAUAUGGAUCUUGAUGAAGAUGUAUACAUUUUCCGGCCGUUACAGUUUAAUACCCUUCCUGUUGUAAAAACUGCUACUGAGCCUUUAAAUCCUAGUGAGUUGCCCAAAAUGGUGGAGGGGCUUCGGAAGAUCAGCAAAAGCUAUCCUCUAGCAAUUACUAAAGUUGAGGAAUCUGGUGAGCACACUAUAUUAGGUACUGGAGAGUUGUACUUGGACUCAAUUAUGAAGGACCUUAGGGAGCUUUAUUCAGAGGUGGAAGUUAAGGUGGCAGAUCCUGUUGUUUCAUUCUGUGAAACAGUGGUGGAGUCUUCAUCCAUGAAAUGCUUUGCUGAAACACCCAACAAGAAGAAUAAAAUAACCAUGAUUGCAGAGCCAUUGGAGAGAGGUCUUGCAGAGGACAUUGAGAAUGGUGUUGUAAGUGUUGACUGGAGUCGGAAGCAACUUGGUGACUUCUUCAAGACAAAAUAUGACUGGGAUUUGCUUGCUGCACGUUCCAUCUGGGCAUUUGGCCCUGAUAAGCAGGGACCUAAUAUUUUAUUAGAUGAUACACUCCCUACUGAGGUUGACAAGGGAUUGUUGGGAUCUGUCAGGGAUUCUAUUGUCCAAGGAUUUCAGUGGGGUGCUCGAGAAGGACCUCUCUGUGAUGAACCUAUUAGAAAUGUGAAGUUCAAAAUAGUUGAUGCAAGGAUUGCAUCUGAACCAUUGCAUCGAGGAUCUGGACAGAUCAUCCCCACAGCUCGACGUGUGGCCUAUUCAGCUUUCCUUAUGGCGACCCCACGGCUUAUGGAACCUGUAUAUUAUGUGGAGAUACAAACACCAAUUGACUGUGUCUCUGCUAUCUACACGGUGUUGUCUCGUAGGCGUGGUCAUGUUACAGCUGAUGUGCCACAGCCAGGAACCCCGGCCUAUAUUGUGAAGGCAUUUUUACCUGUGAUAGAGUCAUUCGGAUUUGAGACAGACCUGAGGUACCACACACAAGGUCAAGCCUUUUGUCUCUCAGUAUUCGACCACUGGGCCAUAGUUCCUGGAGACCCUUUGGACAAGAGCAUUGUUUUGCGACCUCUUGAACCCGCACCAAUACAGCACCUUGCUCGGGAGUUCAUGGUAAAGACAAGGCGUAGAAAGGGAAUGAGUGAAGAUGUGAGCAUCAACAAGUUCUUCGACGAGGCUAUGGUGGUGGAGCUAGCUCAGCAGGCUGCCGAUCUUCAUCAGCAGAUGAUAUAAACCAAAACACGGUAUAUACAAGUUUGUCAUGUUUCGAGGACUUCAACGUACUUACUGCCAUCCUUCCUCACCGCUUUCACUGGGCUCAAACUUGGACAAGGACCAGAAGCAAAUAUCAAAGAACCAAAUUCUAACACUUGGCAGAAAAGGCACAAAGAAUCAACAUGCAUGACAAAAUACACAUGUGGAAGGUUCCCAAGAUGCAUAAAAGACUAAACUACAAGAAAAAAUGUGUAUUUGAACUCAUCUCUUGUUCCUAUCAACAAAUGGCCAUGAAGUUGCUGUAAUGCAAAAGUUCAAAUACCAUCUUUCAUAUUUUUUCCAUCGUGAAAUUGCUAAAACGUUAGGCCAUUUACAUAUA